AUCCAGCUGACGAGUCGCAAGUAGGACGAAACGCGCGUUCAACUGGAU
Non-coding RNA from Schistosoma mansoni, 48 nucleotides. The record is from Rfam. NCBI's taxonomy places the organism in Eukaryota, Metazoa, Platyhelminthes, Trematoda, Strigeidida, Schistosomatidae.